Molecule: long non-coding RNA, 1956 nt
Organism: Oncorhynchus keta (chum salmon)
Lineage: Eukaryota; Metazoa; Chordata; Actinopteri; Salmoniformes; Salmonidae
Exons: 3
Source: RefSeq, a predicted model, not a curated record
UACUAGGUGGACCCUCGUCUGGUCUGAUACUAGGUGGACCCGCGUCUGGUCUGAUCCUAGGUGGACCCUCGUCUGGUCUGAUACUAGGUGGACCCUCGUCUGGUCUGAUACUAGGUGGACCCUCGUCUGGUCUGAUACUAGGUGGACCCUCGUCUGGUCUGAUCCUAGGUGGACCCUCGUCUGGUCUGAUACUAGGUGGACCCUCGUCUGGUCUGAUACUAGGUGGUCCCUCGUCUGGUCUGAUCCUAGGUGGACCCACGUCUGGUCUGAUACUAGGUGGACCCACGUCUGGUCUGAUCCUAGGUGGACCCACGUCUGGUCUGAUACUAGGUGGACCCUCGUCUGGUCUGAUACUAGGUGGACCCACGUCUGGUCUGAUACUAGGUGGACCCACGUCUGGUCUGAUACUAGGUGGACCCUCGUCUGGUCUGAUACUAGGUGGACCCUCGUCUGGUCUGAUACUAGGUGGACCCACGUCUGGUCUGAUCCUAGGUGGACCCACGUCUGGUCUGAUACUAGGUGGACCCGGGUGCAUUUUACAGACAUGUUAUUUAGUCCUGUCAUAAUAGUGGGGUGGUAUUCAUUAAGCAUCAGGUAUUUAACUCCAGUCUGAUUAGGGCUGUUGUGUUCCUGAUUAGCUUGUCUGUUUACGUGCUCCCAACGACAUUCCCACAAAUUGUCCCAAAUCAGCCGACGAGGCGCGCUCCACCCCGAGCAGCCCCACCCAAACAGACAUAUACACACCAGCCCCAUCUAAAGAUAUGAGAGAGAGGGAAGGAAGGAACAUAUUAUGGAAAUGAAGGGUGUCAAGUGCAAAUUAGAUUGGAACUUUGUGAAACAGCAGCAUUGAGUAUUGCCACCAGCUCCCUUGACAACUGCACCGAAACUUGCGCGUGGCUUAAUGAGAAAAUUCCAAAGUGGCUCUUGAAAGUGUCUGUGACGCUGGAGAAUGGAGUGGCAUCUUUCUUUUAAUACUGACCUGCUGGGAGUCCGUUGGGUGUCAUUGAUAUAUAAUAUGGCGAUCAGCCGUAUUAUAGCAAAACAAUACUGUUAUUCAACCAAAGCCUAUAUCCAAGAGAGUGUUGUGAUGAAACGACUUGUCUUUUAAUGUGGCAAGGCUUCUCUCAGAACUAUUUCACUAGUCAAAACAAACACAUUUACUUUACAUUCCAAGUUUAUUGAAUGUUUUUCCCUGGGAAACACACUCACCAAACACCCUCACCCAACGACACCCUCACCCAACGACACCCUCACCCAACGACACCCUCACCCAACGACACCCUCACCCAACGACACCCUCACCCAACCACACCCUCACCCAACGACACCCUCACCCAACGACACCCUCACCCAACGACACCCUCACCCAACGACACCCUCACCCAACGACACCCUCACCCAACGACACCCUCACCCAACGACACCCUCACCCAACGACACCCUCACCCAACGACACCCUCACCCAACGGCACCCUCACCCAACGACACCCUCACCCAACGACACCCUCACCCAACGGCACCCUCGCCCAACGGCACCCUCACCCAACGGCACCCUCACCCAACGACACCCUCACCCAACGGCACCCUCACAGACUGAGACAGGCCACCCAAGCAGCAUAGAUCUGUUGCUAUGGUUACGUGGAGGUUGCUGCAGUGUUGUACCAGCGUCCUCUUAAGGUUACUAUGACUCUGCCUGCCAAUGACCUAAACACACUGUAACCUCUAUGGAAGGAUCUGCCCUGGUUUACCCUCAUCUCUUUCUUAACGCUCGACUGCCCUCUCUCUUUCCCUCAUUUACCCCCAUCCUCCCCUCAGGUGAGGGCGUCCUUCUCUCCUCUCCUUUCCUCUGUCCUUAAUUUUCCUUCCCCAUCGCCCUUCUCCUCCGCUCACUCAGAAAUCAGAGGACUUAAUGACAGCAGGCAUGUCCAGUCAGCUGACCCCAACUAACCUCCUAAA